Molecule: long non-coding RNA, 531 nt
Organism: Frankliniella occidentalis (western flower thrips)
Lineage: Eukaryota; Metazoa; Arthropoda; Insecta; Thysanoptera; Thripidae
Exons: 2
Source: RefSeq, a predicted model, not a curated record
GAAGGAUUUGACACUAAAUCUCGUAAAAUUUUGAGGUGUUUUUCGUCCUGUUUCUUCCUAGCGGAAGCCAUGUUGCAGAUAUUUCAAAAUGGACACCUUUCCGAUAUAAAAGUGUUGAAGUGUUACCGUGAUCGACAUUAUUUCAAAAUUUGAUAUCGUCUGCGUCUGACCUUCGGUGUUGGAGGGAGUCGAUUGUGUUGGCAGCGUUUCUUGAGGAAGCGCCAACAAAGUGGAAUUCAAGCGUGUUGUUCGGAGGUUCGGAAUAGCUCCUAGCUCACUUGGCAUGAAGAUCUAAAGACCCCAACCCAGGGUCGUUUGAAAGAGGUGGCAAGUUGGUGAAGGUCGUGAAAAUUGGAAUAAGGCUUCCAAGCUUGUUUCAAGUGCCUCUUCACAUUUAUGUCUUUGUUAUUUUAGUGUAAAAUUCCCAACACUUGCUCAGUGUAAAAGGGAACAGAAAAAGGAAAAGCGGACAGAUUGUAGCUACUUUGACGGGUAAAAUAUGGAAAAAUAAAGUUUUGGAAUCUGUCAGAA